Small nucleolar RNA from Gastrolobium bilobum, 105 nucleotides. RefSeq annotates it as small nucleolar RNA R32/R81/Z41. The record is from RefSeq and is a predicted model, not a curated record. The transcript has a single exon. NCBI's taxonomy places the organism in Eukaryota, Viridiplantae, Streptophyta, Magnoliopsida, Fabales, Fabaceae.
AGGCGAAUAUGAUGAAAGCAAAUAUAAAAAAAGAUGGGUGAUCAUCAAAUAUUAUACGUUUGAUAUGAUCAAAAUUUUCAUCGCUACGUUCUUUCUGAUUCGUCU